AGACUACAAAAGAAUACCACUUGAAGGCCUCCCAGAUUGGAACUUGCACAGUCCCAAAGCAGAGGCAGUUGCUAUUGUUCGGGUACGGGGAUGGGUAAUUGACAGAGGAGAACAAGCCUUUGGAUUUAGACAACACAGAGCUACAGCAAUCUGAAGGGAAGAACCAAACGGGAUUGAAGAGAAUGAAAACGCCACAGAAGUCUUUCAGAAGUGCCUGACAAGUCUCUUCAGCCAUUUACAUCAGUCAAACUUGCAAAGGAGAAAUGAAUUAGAAUGCUUACAGUUGUGUUGAUGUUCCUUGUGUCAAAGUUACGUAAGGCAAAUAAAGCUGCUUCAGCUACU
Long non-coding RNA from Neopsephotus bourkii (Bourke's parrot), 342 nucleotides. RefSeq lists it as uncharacterized. Lineage: Eukaryota; Metazoa; Chordata; Aves; Psittaciformes; Psittacidae. The record is from RefSeq and is a predicted model, not a curated record. The transcript is spliced from 2 exons.